GGCGCUAUGGUGUAGUGGCAGCACAUUGGAUUUUGAUUCUACUAUUCCAACGACCCAGGUUCGAACCCUGGUAGUGCCU
This 79-nucleotide transfer RNA is filed under the name Armillaria novae-zelandiae. It matches the Rfam family "tRNA". Rfam says of the family: Transfer RNA (tRNA) molecules are approximately 80 nucleotides in length. Their secondary structure includes four short double-helical elements and three loops (D, anti-codon, and T loops). Lineage: Eukaryota; Fungi; Basidiomycota; Agaricomycetes; Agaricales; Physalacriaceae. The record is from Rfam by way of RNAcentral.